AUCCUGUUAAGUUGUCACUUGAAUUGAUGUCACCCAGCACAGUCACAGGGGUCUUGUACUAAAUUUUGUGGGCAGAAUAAUUGUAACAAACUAGAGUUGGAUGAAUAGAAGACCUAAUCAUCAGAGCCAUUGAAUUUUGACAUUGGUUGGAAUAGGGACCAUUCUCUAAUUCUGCUCAGCAACUGCUAUUGAAGAGAAACCAGUCUCACAAGAAGCAAGGUACCGACACCUGCCUCUGGACGCUGUUGUCCACCUCGGGCACCACUGCCUACCUCUGGACAUGGCCACCUGAUCCCAGACACUCCCCUUUUCUUCAAGCUACCACUACCUCUGGACAAUGCCACCUGCCUAUGGACACCACUGCCAGCCCCUGGACACCACUUCCUUCUUUGGGGCACUGUCCCUGCCCCGUGGCCAACACCACCUGCCCUGGUCCCUGCUGCCUGCUGUGGACACCGCUGCCUGUCCCUGGGCACUGCUGGCAGCGCCCUAAUGGACCUUCCCUUUUCUCAGUCCUCUCCUGUGCAAACUAGAAGAUGAUGCCUCUUCCCUCUUCUUCGUCAGCUAUCAGCAACCAUCAAGACAGAGACACCUGAGCUUUCAGGGGACAGCGGCUCUUCAGUUCUUACUGGAAGAGAACUCAGACAUUGUGCCAGGAGACAAAUCCAAGUGACAGACGCUGUGCUCUCUCGGUUGAGCCUAGAGGCUCCAAGCCAUGACUCCACGCCCAGGAGAUGGGUUCUGCCCCCAAAGGUCUCUACAUCCCCGCGGGUAGUCUGUUCCCCGACCCCUGCCCUGUCCCCGGAUCAGUGGCCACAGGACCGAGAGGAUGUGCAAGACCCUGGGGCUGGGGCUGCACAAGACAUGCUAGCUAUCUAUGUGACUCUGCCCUAUGGAACUAGGCGGGAGAGUUCAAGCUUGUAGAAGCCAUGGAACAGAAGCAAGCAAAAGCUUGUCAGUAAAGUGACAGUUUAAUAUUUGUGUAAACCAAAUGGACACACAAUAAAUUUUAUAUUGGCA
Long non-coding RNA from Heterocephalus glaber (naked mole-rat), 1020 nucleotides. The record is from Ensembl. NCBI's taxonomy places the organism in Eukaryota, Metazoa, Chordata, Mammalia, Rodentia, Bathyergidae.